Molecule: microRNA precursor, 137 nt
Filed under: Gossypium arboreum
Lineage: Eukaryota; Viridiplantae; Streptophyta; Magnoliopsida; Malvales; Malvaceae
Description: MIR7502 microRNA precursor family
Rfam family: MIR7502 microRNA precursor family
Source: Rfam by way of RNAcentral
UUUUAAAAAAAAUUCAUUCAUUUCUAUUGUUAAAAACUGACAAAAUAACAAAUAUUGACACGUGGCAUGUCAUUUGUAUCUCAUGCUGCUGUAUAAUGACCAACUUUUAACAGUAGAAAUGAAUAAAAUUUUUAACA